UUCCCCACCCAAUUAGCUUCACUGCAUGACCGCCGAGUACAUAACCUGUGACGUGUUUGUAAACUCCUGACUUGUAGUGAGCAAAAUCCUGUGAAGAGGUCCAAUUAGUAAAGGUUAACGUAAUCUUUAUGUUUGAGGUCUAGACACUACAUGCAAAAUGAUGCAGGUAAUAGUCACGGAUGCUUUAGUUCAUUGAAAGGUCACUGGCAAAGACGGGCCCUUCGAAAUGCUUUAACAGGAAGGAUGCUAUAAUAUAUUAAAGUGCUGCUCGAAUAAUGGGGACAAGAAAGUGACAUAAGAAGUUGUAGUUGCAUGUAAGAGACCAAACAAAUAAAUAAAUGACUCCUGAAGGUUAAUGCUUUUAAUAAAGAGAAUCCAAUGACUCAAAAAUCUGCUAAAGGGGCUUAAUAGCUAGGGGGUGACCAAUGCAACAAUAGGGCCAGGUUGUUGUAAGGCCUGUUCUAUUUUUGGUAAGCUAAAAUUGUAUCUCCAUCAGUUAUGAUUGAUAAUACUAAUUUCUGAUUUAAAAUUACUUUCUAUCCUAAUGUCAAUCCACAACCUAAAGUCUAAAAGAUGACAACUGCCCCCAUUUUUGUUCUGAUAGAGAGAGCAACCAAAUAAAGGGGGAAAGAAAGAAAAAGAAUAAAUCUUAAAUGUUGAACCACUUUUUUAAGCAUAAUUCACUACGCGUUUUAGCAGACUGAAUGCUAAGAAAUGAAUCCUAAUACGAAAACCCUUGCGCACAAUCCUUGUCCUAAUAUGAUCCCUUAAUGAGCACCACAUACCCUUGAAAAGCCUACUACUUUUGAGUAUUAAUCAAGUGUAGGAAUGGAAUAUGAUCUUAGUUUACUCAGUAUUUUUGGUCCAAGACCUUUACCAUGUUAUUCAUACGACCAUACGCAUUUUAUUCCACCUUUUUCUCAUUUGAAAUUUGAUGUUUUAUCUUUAUCUGUAAACAUUAAACUUAAACCCUCCAUGAAAGCCAGUAGCUCCUGACAUAUGCGCGAGUGAGAACCAGCCCCAAAGGAACCAUUAAGGAGGAGUAUAAUAUACCACCGAAGAUGAGAGCAAUGCACCGACUAGCUAAUGCUGGUGAAAGUAAAGGUAUUGACCAAAAGCAACCGACCCCAUCAGCACAGACAUUAGACUUAUCAAAGAAAACUAGGGCUACGUACAUGAUUUGCAAGUUUAAGGAGCAAACUUAAAAGAUAGGUAAAUAUGGAAAACAUAUAUAUAGACUUUAGAGGCACCCAGAAAGAUGAGCAUGACACAAAUCAGGAAUGUGUGAAGAUCUACGAAACGAUGAAAUACACAAAAGGAACAACAUGUAGACAAUGAGAGACUUGCGAUUGAGUAUGAAAAACCCAAAACACACGAAAAGAAAAAUUCCCCGCUGGUGACGUUUGGGGAAGUUAAUUAUAAAAUCUCGGUGUAGCUAAAACUAAGCACCAAUGCCAAUAUGACAAUUAAGGAGAAAACAUAAUAAGGAAAAGUUCAUAAUAAAAAUUGAAAAUCGCCAUGUUAUAGCAGAUUUCUUUUACAGACUAUAAACCCAACAACUUUAUUACCCACUAAUUAUCACUCCAGUCCAUUUAUCUGAUCCCAAACCAUUCUCCCAUAACAUAUCUUCUUUAAACUUUUAUACCCAAAAGAAUCCUCAAUCGUAUCAUAUUCAAUUUGCAAACCCACUCGAUGCCAGUACCAUAGAUUCGGCAGGCCCAAUUAAAUGUUAUACAUUAUUAAGAGGUAUUUAGCAUAUUCAUAUCAAAAGAGCUGUUCUGUUCGUACAACCUCGUCUGAUUAGAGCUUUUUAAGCAGCAUUUCUGUGAUGAAACCAGGACUAAAUAGAAACUCCGAAAUCUGAUUUAAGUCAUUUUGAAAAUCAAGGUUCUUUUAACAAUUUUUAUCCGUUUGUGAAAAAAUUUGUAGCUUUAAAAUCAUUCAUAACAAAUUAUCUCCACCCACUACUUUGUGUCAUUUAGUUGUGAUUUUAUUACUGACUCAACCUUCCAUAUAGUUAAAAAUUAAAAUACUGAAAAUGUCAACAUUAAUAACCUCUCUUAGUUGAUAACUCUAGAACUAACAUCCCUUCAUUUUUGUAACAAAUGCAAUCAAGCUUGUAGAAAUGUCUACCUAUGCCAUAUAUAGUGGGUAAAUUUCAAACAUUUCGUAAGUGAAUUCUGCAUAGCAGUUUAAAUAUUAUGUAUGGUAGUAACUGCAAUGGGUGUGCCGCCAACAAUAAUUGUCACCAUUUAUUUGUUAUUGUGUUGACGUAAUCUAAAUCCAAUGAGAAAAUGACACGUGUGCUGUGUAAAAAUAUUGUAAAAAAAUCUGUGUUAACAUAUCAUUGCCCAAGCCCUCUUUUGUAGUUGUGACAUUAACAACUCACACUGCUACCCUAAAAUGAAUUUUCAACUUUCUUAAUUCAUUAUAUCAUAACCUAAGUAACUGCACAACCUACUUCUCUUGCAAACACUAUCCCAACAUUGCAAUCAACAUAAAUAAAACAAGUGCUCUCAAUAAUACAGAUAUAAUAAACACCUUUAAUCUAAGAAGAAAUUGCAUGAAAUCUACUUAAAUGACAUUCAUACUCCUUCUAGAUUUUAAUCACACACCCACCUCUAAGAUGUUUUUUUAACACAUACCCUUUAUUUGAUUAAUAAAGUGAUACAUACAACCCUUCUUUGAUGCUAUGAGAAGGAGAGUCUCUUUUUAAAACUAGAGGGGUUAAGAAAGAUUUGUGCAACUUUCCCUUAAUUCAAUAAUAGUUCUUUAAGAAAUGGCCUAGGGUUAAAGAACACUACCCCUAACUUCAAUGUUCCCCCUAUACCAAACCACUAUUUUUCAACUCUUACCAAUACUUCAUGUAAAUCUUUGAAAGAGUAAUAUAUCUUCAAUAUUCCAGAAAAAAGUCAAUCCACAAUUAGUUCGAGGAUCCAAAAUAACCACAGAAGAGUUCAACAUAGAUAUUUAUUCUAAAAAAGUUUAGAGUCAAGAAUAAUGGAAAGCGACAAAUGGUCAAAAUCACUCAGUCAUUGAGCCUCCAACAAUAGAAUAUUCACUUCAAGUUCCCCACAACUUCCUCUAAACUAUGAAAACCUGCUACUGAUUUCCAUUCCUCUCCACCUAUCCAUAAGUUUUUAUUUUGUAACAUGUUUUCCAUGUUAGAUCACAUGCACCAAUCUCAAACACUCUGAACCGAUUGUUUCCAAAUUAUUGUCAUAUAAUUAUAAAUUAUAGAUAGGAUGUUUUGAGUUUUUGAAAUUUACCAUUUAAAGUUGCAGAAAAUUUAAUUGCAGAGUGUGGAUAAGAGUUCUCAUUUACCUCAUAAACAGUAAAUGCGACCUCAACUGGCCCAUUUUUGUACACUUCUGCCAUGAUGUCAUGGGGAUUAGAGUUGACCUUGUAGGCAUUGACACUGUAGUGCUUUGACUUCUUCCACAGCUGGUUCCCACUUACACACUUUUUAACACACUUGGGAGUCCGAUAAGCUGGCUCACAUCCAG
RNAcentral lists this long non-coding RNA (3506 nucleotides) under Vigna radiata. RNAcentral describes it as "long non-coding RNA (VRAD_LNC002461)". The record is from RNAcentral. Lineage: Eukaryota; Viridiplantae; Streptophyta; Magnoliopsida; Fabales; Fabaceae.